This is a long non-coding RNA of Aethina tumida (small hive beetle), 1455 nucleotides long. RefSeq lists it as uncharacterized. The transcript is spliced from 2 exons. The record is from RefSeq and is a predicted model, not a curated record. Lineage: Eukaryota; Metazoa; Arthropoda; Insecta; Coleoptera; Nitidulidae.
UUGUAAUUGUUGUAGGUUUAUUAGUUUCAUAUUUAUAUUUGUAAAAAAAAUAUUAUAUAUUUUGUGAAAUAAACACUGUAAACUUAUACAUUUUAAUUUUACAAGCCUGGAUUCUUUUUGUACAAGUCACGCCUAACAAAAUCACCACACCACAAUUUUGUGAUUUUGGUCGGACAGGGGAGGAUGAACUUUCCUUUUACAUCUUAUUCUCAUCGAUACCAUUCCAGCAGUAGCAGCAUUCGUUUUACAACACCAUCGACGUCAUCAUCAUUAAGCAGUGACUUUAUUUUUUAAUCAGGUGAACAGAAACAUGGAUUUGCAACAAAUCAACGCUGUAUCCGAUCAGUACAGAAAACUUGUAUCCGAGCUGACCAGUCUACAGGAAGGAGAAGGCCAUUUGAUACACGACAUGAAGAGAGUGAAUGGCACAUUCGGAAGUAUUUAAACAAAUGAUGAAUGCGGACUCCGACUCGGUACUCUCUAUCCUGCCAAAGAAGUAUUUCCCGCUGGCAACAACCAAGCAGGAGAUGGAGCUGAAGGUGGCCAACGGCACGUCCAUCGCCACCUUCGGCACACGUCGCCUUAGGUUGGACCUCGGCCUGCGUCGCCCACUCCAAUAGCCUUUUGUCAUGGCGGACACGCAGUCUGCCAUCCUCGGCGCCGAUGCGAUAAGGUACUACGAUCUGGUCAUCAACCUUCGCAAUCGCUGCCUGCAUGACCGCCUUACUAUCCUUAAAGUGUGCACCGUCGGCCCAGAACCAGGUGCACAUUCGAUCAGUUUGAUUUCGCACAUUGUUAUCCCCGAGCGACCACCGACUCCAAGACGAAUUUAUGAAAAUUGUGCCACCGCCUGGGGAAACGGCCACCCUCCAAGACAUGCCAGUUCAGCAUCACAUCGUGACGCACGGCCAACCAGUUUUCACUCGUCCACGCUGGCUUAUCCUGCGGCCCUACCAGGACGAUAUCCUCGUCAUCUCGCCAAGACACGACGAGCACCUCCAUUACAUGCGCCUGUUGUUCGAAACCCUUUGUGACGCACGUCUCCGACCUAAUUGGGACAAGUGCUUCACCGGUUACCUCGUCUCUGCCACGCCGUCAUGCCGCUGCCCCGCACGCCCCCUUGUCGCAGCAGCUCAAGGGACUCACGAAGAAAAAGUCGCAGUUGAGUUGGACCAGCGAAACCGACCAAGCUUUCGACAGAUGCAAGAGCAGAAUAGCCGAUGCAGCGACGUCUGCUUUCCUCGGCCACCAAACGCCUCUCGCUCUCCGCACCGACGCGUCCAACACCGCUAUAGGCGCAACCCUGGACCAACAAAGCGAGGACGGCACAUGCAUUCCUGUUGGUUUCUUUUCGCGGAAGCUUUCCUAUUCUGAGCAACGCUACUCCACAAGAGUUUCGCAUCACGCGCCAUCUGCUCGCACUUUGUAAUAAUAUAGUAAACAAUUAGUGUUCUU